RNAcentral lists this transfer RNA (74 nucleotides) under Candidatus Dechloromonas phosphorivorans. RNAcentral describes it as "tRNA-Trp". It matches the Rfam family "tRNA". Rfam says of the family: Transfer RNA (tRNA) molecules are approximately 80 nucleotides in length. Their secondary structure includes four short double-helical elements and three loops (D, anti-codon, and T loops). Lineage: Bacteria; Pseudomonadati; Pseudomonadota; Betaproteobacteria; Rhodocyclales; Azonexaceae. The record is from RNAcentral.
AGGGGUGUAGCUCAAUUGGUAGAGCAACGGUUUCCAAAACCGUAGGUCGGGGUUCGAUUCCCUCCGCCCUGCCA